Molecule: long non-coding RNA, 707 nt
Organism: Mesoplodon densirostris (Blainville's beaked whale)
Lineage: Eukaryota; Metazoa; Chordata; Mammalia; Artiodactyla; Ziphiidae
Exons: 4
Source: RefSeq, a predicted model, not a curated record
AUUCAAAGAUGAAAAAGACAACUUAGUUCCUCUCUUCCAGAAGCUCACAAUCUAGCAAUGGAGGAAAACAGAGUCCUAAUUUGGUGCUUUUUUUCACUAUACCAUAUGACCUCUCUUGGACCUUUUAAGGAAACCUCUCUGGGUCAACUGAUUCCCUACCACACACCAUGUGGGGAGAGACUACUGUGAUCAUCUUCCUCACUAGGACCACAUGGAGUAUGCAAUGGAUGUUUUUUUCAAGAAAGGGUCACUGGCAGACAGGAACAAUGUGCUAACCACCAGCUGUUAAGGGCCUAUGAAAUAUAUCAUGCAACUUCCUUUGGCCUGCAUGGCUUCAGAUGAGAAAUCUACUGUCAUUCAAAUUGUGUUUCCUUAUAGGUGUCUUCCCCAGGUGUCAAACAUGGCUGUAGGCCUUCAAUGCUGAUGAGGAUGAUGGACCCACCUAUACACCUUGUGACCAGCACAUAAUGAGAGACAGAAUGCCAAAUAUUUUCACCCUGUUCAUGACCAAGGUUCUGGAUCCUCAUUCUGUGCCUAGUGGACCAAAUCUAAUUGCAGGGAGUAUCAGAGGCUGGUACAACUUGGAUGGGUGGGGUUCCUCAUGGCUUAAUCAGGAAAUCCUUAGCCGAGUCUGAAGAGGGCAUCACCUGGGUGGUGGGAUCAUGAAUAAUUUUGUGUGUGUGUAUAUAUAUAUAUUUUAUAUAUAU